Molecule: long non-coding RNA, 8106 nt
Filed under: Homo sapiens (human)
Lineage: Eukaryota; Metazoa; Chordata; Mammalia; Primates; Hominidae
Description: HSALNT0172086
Source: RNAcentral
GAGUAGUGAGAGGCAUAGGAUGGGACAGAAGGAGAUGCUAAACAGUGAUGCAGAAGCAGCGAAGACCUCCGCAAUCCUGCAGGGAAGCUUGGGAGCUGGUACGGCCCUGCAGAGAUGCACUGAGCCUGACUGCUGCUGGAGCCCAGUGUGAGUCCUGGCAGAAGAAAUCUGCAAACCCUAGUCAGAUGUGUUUCAGCUUUGCAGUGGAUGGUAGGGCCACCCUCCCGUUGGGGUCAGGUCAGAGGACAUGACUCUUUAACAUUACUGAAAUUACAAGUUUCUUGAAUACAAGAUGAAGGAAGAGGUCAAAUAUCAAGUAGUAAGUCACACAUUUAAAACAGAAUUUGGCUUCUACAUUUUCUUGGGAAUGGGUAGAGAAAAAAGCUUCCCUUUCUCUGUUUAAAGAAAUCAAAACUUUAGAGGGCUCUAGGAAGAACAAAGAGAAUCUUCACAUAAGAAAUAGAAUAUUGAGAGCCCUUAUUAAGAUAAUUUUCUUGCUCAAAGAUUGAAAGACUCAGUGCCUUUGGAGUUUGGCUCUGGUUGAGGGAGGGGAUGGGAUGAAGUGACAAAUGCCUCAGAGGUUAUGGCUAAUGGUGCCUUUGGAGAGAGAAGUAUUGGGACAUGUGUGUGGGAAAACAGGUUUCAGAAUGUGAUGGCAGCCUCCAAAAUGGCCCCAGUGAUGCCCUGUCCUGGUGUUCACGUUCUUGUAAAAUCCCCUCUACCUUGAGUGAGGGAUGCUGAUGAAUAAUGAUGGGAUAUCACUUCCAAUAUUAGGUUACAAAAUGACUCUGGUUUCCAUCUUGCUCACCCUGAGGGAAGCCAAGCUGCCAUGUUGUAAGCUGCCCUAUGAAGGGACCCACAUGGCAAAGAAUGGAGAAUGACCCCAGCCAGCCAAGAACUCUCAGCCUACCGGCCCAUGAGGAACUGAAUCCUGCCAACAGCGAUGUGAGUGAACUUGGAAGUGGAUCCUUCUCCAGUGGCACCAUCAGCUCACCAUCCAGCCCGCCUGAGGCUCUGCCCACUGACAGGCUACUCCCAGGACAAUACUAGCUCCCCAGGACAAGCACUACACCCAGACGGCAUGUCAUUCAACAAGUCGGGGGCAGGCUUAAGGUGAAAAAUCAUCCCAAUUCUGGAGAUAUUAUCUGAAAAAAAAAGACUGUUUUCAGGAAACAAUCUUCCCAUCUGUGGUGAUUUUUAAAAUAUAGUUCCCAAAUUUUAUGUGGGAAAGGAAAGUAGCAAUAUAGAUGCAGGAAGAGCAUUACUGUGUGGAUAAAAAGAUGAUGUAUGCAAAUGAACAUGCUCAGCCUAGAACUUAAAUUAAAGUUACUGCCUGAUAUGGUAGGUACUGUGGUCUGAAUGUGUCCCCCAGAGUUCAUGUGUUGGAAACUUAAUCUCCAGUGCAACAAUGUUGAGCAAUGGAACCUUUAAGAAGUGACUGGGUCAGGAGAGUUCUGCCCUCAUGAAUGAAUUAAUGUCAUUAUUGCAAGAGUUAGUUAUUGCAGGAGUAGGUUCCUGAUUAAAAAGUGAGUCCACCCCCACUUCUCUCUCUUUUUCUGUCACGCACAUAUGCACUCUCUUGCCCUUCUACCUUCCACCAUGUGAUGACACAGCAAGAAGGCCCUCACCAGAUGCAGGCCUCUCAACCUUGGACUUUCCAGCCUCCAGAAUUGUAAGAAAUAAAUCUCUAUUCUUUAUAAAUUACCUAGUCUCUGGCAUUCUGUUACAGCAGCACAAAAUGAAUUAAGACAGUAGGAAAGAUCAUUGACACUGUUACAGACCUCUAAGGCAUGAUGAAAAAGCAAAUAUGCCCAUGUUUAUGCAAAUAGCAGAGUCAGUUAAAGAGGCCAUAACAUUGAUCAUAUGGGACUUCAAUAGCCCUGAAAUGGAUUAGAACAAGAAUUAUGGGAUGGUAAGGAGAGGCCACAGAGCUAGCAGUGAUCAGAAGCUCUUUUCCAGGAGACUUUGUUGAGCAAUCAAAAAGAUCAUGGGCUAUUGGGGGCAGCUAUCUGAAAAGUUGAAUGCAAUGAAGGAUGAAGGAUGGGGCUAAAAUGCUAAAAGCAGCGUUUUCAACCAAGUUGCAUUUCAAUUUAGUCUUCCCAUCUGUGGUGAUUUUAAAAAUAUAGUUCCCAAAUUGCCGGUAGCAUCUGGGGAGCAGGGUCUGUGGGCAGACACCUGCUCACCAGUGAACAUUUGGAAUGACAUUUCUGGAGGGAGGUGUCAUUGUGGCUUAGAGAUUAAUCCAUAAAGAAGACAGACUUAGGGAAUCCCAGAGUAGCAGAGCUGGGAAGCCCUCGAAGAUAACAGAGCCAAACUGCCCAGAGAGGGUAAGUGACAUACUCAAUGUCACACAGCCAGUAAUUAAUGGAGAAGGGGCUGGAACUCCACUUUUCUAAGUCUCUGUUUAGGACUGCAACAUCCCCUGGAGUGAGUGAAAGGAAAGUUCUCGAAGGAAUCUCCUCAAAAGGGAUGUAGAAUAAGAGUGAAGUUGUUGCCUCAGAAAAAAAAAAAAGUGAAAAAUGAAUAACGAUUGAUAAAUUCAGAUCUCCAUUCUCGUCAGAAAAUAAAAUUUCUGGUAAUUAUUAUCCCUCACUACCUUAGAGAAAACAAGAAGAAUGAAGAUUGUCCUAACACAAUUAUGUAAAGGCAAGUCUAAGAAAGGAGAAGGAGUUGAUUCCCAUGUAGAAGUCAACCAUCUAGGCUAACUGUUCAUCCCACCCCAAUGCCUCAAACCCAGGCUGCCCACCUAUUUAUCACACUUUUGCAGGUCUGUGAAAGUCAGCAACAAAUACCGUAUCUAUUCCAGGAGAUUGUCCUAGAGCCUCCUCAAUUUCUCUGUGGACACUAUGCCUGCUCUUGUCUCCCUGGUUCUGAUUUCCAUGUCUGCUGCCAGUUUUAACAUUGUUCCUGGCCUUCUCAUAUUAGUCACCUAAGCCCCUCCUCUUGGGCCUUGGGUCUCAGCCUCAUCUCAUCCUAACACUUCCUACUAACCUGGUGAGAAGCUCCCUGCUCUAGCUAUAGCCCGCUAAGCCUGUAUGCUGGCCUAGCUCCCAGAUGCUCUCAAGUAAAAACAAAAAAGUAGACAUUUUGUCUUGAACCCUAAGUUUCCAUGCUGGGGGGAGGGAUAAGAUUAUGACCACUAUCCAUACCCCAUCUCUUGAGAAUUUGGAGCUGUGGGACGAAAAAGAAGAACCAGAGAGUUGGCUGCAGCUGGCAGAAGAAAAAGGACAGAUGGUUCCCCACAGGAAAGGCACCAUCGGCUGAAGUACCAGCCUCACUCCUGUGGCUCCUACCUGCCAUGGUGCAGGUGCAUGUGUAUGCAUGUGUGUGUGCAUGUGUGUAUGUGUCGCCACCCUGUGAUACAGGGUUGCAAGCCCCACCUGCUUGGGCCUAUGCAAAGACCUACCAAAAAAUUCUCUCAUUUGCUACUCAGCAGUUUGAGGAAAAUAAACUUGAAUAUAUCAGUCCUAAUCCAGAAAGGCUUGAGAUGGUUGGUUGGAGAGUGUUUUCCAUGAUGUUGGCCUGAAGCCCUUCAGCCACUUUGAACAGGGUGCCCCCACUGGUGUCCUGAAGCUCAUCCUGCACCAAGCAGAAGCGAGCAGAAGAACCCCACACCCUGCCCCUGCUGCAACACACUCACCUGGAGACCUAAAAUGUGACCUCCAUGUCCCCUCUGUGAGAACAGCUUCUUCCACCUCUGCUGUGGGGAACAGCAGCAUCCCAGGCAGAGGGAACUGCAUAUGCAAGGAACCUGGGUGGGGUGGGGGGCAAUGGUGGCCGGCGUUUGAAGAACAGUAAGGCAGUCAAUGUUGCUGGAGCCCAGAGAGAUAAUGAAAGGUGGAUGACGUGGGGUCUUAUAGGUCACCAUGAGAGCUUUACUCUAAGGUGUUGGGAAGCCAGACACCUGCAGACAUGUCUGCAAAUACCUUUGAGGUUUGUCUGAAUCCUCAGCUGCAGAGGAAAACACAGGAAGUAUGGGAGUUCCCCACAAGAGUUCACAUUUGAACUAGGUUGUUUUUUUUUUAACCGCAACCUCUGCCUCCUAGUUGCAAGUGACUCUCCUGUCUCAGCCUCUCGAGUAGCUGAGAUUACAGGCAUGUACCACCACACUGGCUAAUUUUUUGUAUUUUUGGUAGAGAUCGGCUUUCACCAUGUUGGUCAGGCUGGUCUCGAACUCCUGACCUCAAAUGAUCUGCCUGCCUCAGCUUCCCAAAGCGCUAAGAUUACAGGUGUGAGCCACCGCACCUGGCCUUGAACUAGGCUCUGAAGGAUGACCAGGAGUUUUUCAGAUGGGGGAAAGAGGAGCAAAGCAUCCCAGAUAGAGAGACUACUAUAUUCAAAGGCUAAGAAUGGUGAAAGAGCAAAACGUGUUCCAGGGUGGCUGGCCGUACACCUGUCUGGCGUUCAGGACAGGAGGAUGUUAGAGGAUGCUGCAGCAGAAUGCAAGGCUCAGGUGUGGUUGGGGUCAGAUAGGGAGGACCGUACACAAGGCAUCAUCUCUAGCUUCCUUAGGAACACAUUCCCUUCUUUGAGAACUGCAUUGGCCCCUAAUGAGCUGAAGUCACUUUAUUACUUACUGCAGCAUAAACGAGCGCUGUUAUGAGAGGCAUAUGGCCCAUCUCCCCGCUCCUUCUUCCCAUCCCACCCUCGCUCCUGAAAUCCAGGCAGCUGCCUUGGGCAGCAUCAGAAAGUCCCAUGUGCUUGAGGCUUUCAGACAGCUUUUCCCCAAUAAGACAAGCUCUCUACUUAAUCUGAAGAAAUGGAGUGUUAUUAAAUUAAUUUCUGAACUAUCCUUGCCUUGUCCUUGAACUAAAAAGCUAAGGACCCUGGAGUAAAAGGCAGGGGAUGAGGUGGGAGGGGUGAAGGGGAGAAGCAGAAUGAGGCAGGGCAGCAAAGAGGCAGCAGAGAGGCAAGUUCCUGACCCAGGUCUGCCCGACAGACUCGUUCCAGCAGGUGGGCUGCCUCGUGCUGUCCAAGGCACUGUGUUGAAGAGGUUCAGUAAGUAAAAUAAGAAAUGAGAGUCCUCUGAUCAGCUACUGUACCCAGGGCCCUAAAAAUGAUGGAAAGGUGGCCUCCCUCUGCCAUGGGGUCAGCCCAAAAGUAAUUACCAGGAUACUUUGCAGAUUAUUGAAUAAGUCCCUGGAACCGGCACACUGAUUUAUAUAAGACCUGGAGAUUUUGAGAGAUUUGAGAGAAUAUUAAGAAUCAAUCAAUAUUUUAAUUUAUUUCAGGGUCCUGGAGACUUUAGCUCUGUAGAAAACCACAGGGAGGAAAUUGUGACCUUUGAAAUAUGGCUGGCUGGCAGGCAGCAGGGAGGUACCUCGGCAAAGAGCCUGUUUGGCAGCUGCUGCGGGGAAAGACUUCUCUGUGCUGGAAUGUUCUCUUUCUUCACAGCAUCAGUCAGGAAUUUCAAAUAGCCAAAGAGGGGAGGGCCUCAGGGUGAGUGAGCUCUGGAGCCCUGGCAAGAAGGCUCUUGGCUUGAAUGUGCAUAGCUUACUCCUCCCCAGAGAGAGUCCCCAGGGCCUGGAGAGAGGAGCCUGCAGACUUUGUGUCUCUGCCUAGGAGGCGCUGCUGUGAUCUGGAGACGUCCUCGUAGAACCACCUGAUGAUGUGUCAUCAUUGCAGGAGAUCCAGUACCUUCUCCCCUGGGUCACUAGGCUCCCUAGGCCAUACUCUUCCUGUGUCCUCCCCAGGGCUUUACCAGACAUCUCAUAGAGCACGUGAGCACCAGGUCUCGGACUAUCACCAUCCUCCUGUCUUAUUCCGCAGGAAGACUGUAAGCUCCCUUCAGGCAGGAAUGAUGUCUGAUCCAUUUCUGUGUCCCCAGUACCUGGCAUCAUGCCUGGCCCAGGAUAGGUAGAUAUGAAAAAUAAUGUGUUGAAGAAAUGAAUGGUCAAAUGAACUAAUGCAAGAAAAAUAAACAUUUGUUUGUAAAAAUCAGUUAUGUUUCAACAGCAAGCAGACGGCACAUUCAAAUGUAGUAAUUAGAGAAAUUCAGAAAGGUGAAGACAGGGUGGAGGUAACUGACCAAAGCAUGCAGCACCCUGGGGCUGGCAGCAGUGGGAGAGAAGGAGCUGUUAGCACCCCCAGGCCUGAUGCGGCUAAGAGAGAAGCGGGUCCCAGAACCUGGAGCAGGCCACUAAAACGGAGAGGUGGCCUUUUGCAAGGGAGGCAGCCACACCCUCAAACCUGCAGGGAGGAAGUGGGGGAACAAAUACCUUGACCUCGCCCUCUGUCCUUCCUUGGAUCUCCUCCCUGUGUUCCUCACUGGCCAAAGCCAACCAGAAGUCAGAGGCCAGUGGAGCUCCUUGAUCCAGAGUGGAGAGUAGACAAAAGAUCCCCAGCAAAGGGCUGCCAGGUAACUCUCUGCCUAUUCCAUCUGGCUUGUCCAGCCCCACGAGAAGGGCAGACAAUGGGCACCCCAAUCAGUAGUGCCAACUACUGGGGCACCCCAGUAGUUCUCAAUAAGGGGCAGUUUUGCCAGCCGCUGGGGGGAUUUGUUUUUCACAACUGGAAUGGGGAGGGUGCUACUGGUAUCUAGUGAGUAGAGGCCAAGGAUGCUGCUAAACAUACAAAAAUGCAAAGGACAGCACCCACAACAAAGAACUAUCCAGCUCAAGAUGUCGAUUGUGCCAUGCUGGGAAAGCCUGGCCUUAAUCAAAUGUUGAGAGGAACUCAGGCACACUCUGUGCUGCCCUGGCUUCAGCCAGAGAACAUUGCCUCACUGUGCUGGAAAGGGCAGCGUCAUUUGGUCCAACCCAGAGCCAUCGGCCAGUAAGUGACCAGUGUCUGACUUUGAGUGUCCCUUCGGGAAGGUGCUUUAAGGAGAAAGUCUAUCUGCUCUCUGUCUCUCCUCACUGACAGUGAUGUCCUAGGGUGUCCAGAGUGGUAGACGAGUGGCAGGGAGCACUGCUCAAGCCAUGGGCAAUUAGCUUUCCCCUGGAGGCCAAAACCUCCCCACUGGGCUCACCACCUCCCCAACUCCCCUGAUAUUGAGGGGAACGAGAAAGCUUCUCGUUCCCCUCAUUUUCAGCUUUACAUUCACACCAUAAAAACAUUUUGUAAAAGUGAAUCAAGUCUUGCCAUCUGUCUCUCUCACUUUUAUCAUGUUUAUAAUGAAAAGAAGAGUCAAGAGGAAAUGGAAUCCAAACUGCAAAUGGUGUGCUGCUCCCUGGUAGCUGAGAUCCACCCGAGCAAGGCAGGGACUUGAGGAAGAGGGUGGCCCUUGUGGCGCAGCAUCAUGUACAAAGUGAGUUCCAUCAGAAUCUCAUGCGAAGUUCUCAUGGCAGCCCUGGGAAGUAGAGCUUGUAAUCCACAUUGACAGAUGAGGAAACUAAGGUUUUUCAGGGGAGAUAAGUACUUCAAGGUUGUACUCCCAACAAGUAGCAAAGGUCUUAAACUCUGUACUUGGCCAUCAACUCCAAGUUGUAGACCAAUGUUGCUUCCUAUUUCAUCCUGACGUGAAAUUGUUAGCUUACUGCUACUGGGGUUUAGGUACCAUAUUGAAAACUGUUGAAGUUUAAGUGACUGUGGUACUUAAGAGAGCUCUAUUUUACUCCCUGUCACAGCUUAGAGAUUUUGUCCCUCAUCUGACCCUCCAGGGUCACAGCCCGGGAGAGAAUAAGUUCCAUGUGUACAUUCAUGUCACAAAUAUUCAUUGAGAAAACCAUGUGCCAGGUGCGAGAUGUGGGAUGGCCAGAGAGUACCAUUCUGAGCAGGGCAGCAGAUCUUGAAAAAGGACCCUUGGCACCAGAUCAGAGAGGAACCUAAUAAUGGCAGGCUGCAUUUAUUGAGCACUCACUAUGAGCCAGCUACUGCUCAAGUACUUUCUACAUACUAACUCAUUGAACCCCAUAAGGCUGAUACUCUUACAAUUCCCAUUUUACAGAUGAGAUGACUCAAGCAGUUUAGAAAAUUGCUCGAGGAACCCAGCUUAAUAGUUGUUCUGUUCUGACACGUGCUAGAGCGUGGAUAAAUCUUAAAGACAUUUUGCACAGGGGAAAAAGCCAGUAACAAAAGGAAAAAUACCGUGUGAUUCCACUUAUAUGAGGGACCUAGUGUAGUUAAAUUCAUACAGACAGAGACUAGAAAGGCUAGGAGUUGGAG